GUCGAACGGAAGUAAGAGACGGGAAGGGGCAGUUUACUGCAACGGCACAAUUUUUACUUUAGUGGCGGACGGGUGAGUAACGCGUGGGUAACCUGCCUUAUACAGGGGGAUAACACUUAGAAAUAGGUGCUAAGACCGCAUAACGCCCAGGGCCGCAUGGCCCAGGGUGAAAAACUCCGGUGGUAUAAGAUGGGCCCGCGUCUGAUUAGCCAGUUGGCAGGGUAACGGCCUACCAAAGCGACGAUCAGUAGCCGGCCUGAGAGGGUGGACGGCCACAUUGGGACUGAGACACGGCCCAAACUCCUACGGGAGGCAGCAGUGGGGGAUAUUGCACAAUGGGGGAAACCCUGAUGCAGCGACGCCGCGUGAGUGAAGAAGUAUUUCGGUAUGUAAAGCUCUAUCAGCAGGGAAGAAAGAAGACGGUACCUGAGUAAGAAGCCCCGGCUAACUACGUGCCAGCAGCCGCGGUAAUACGUAGGGGGCAAGCGUUAUCCGGAUUUACUGGGUGUAAAGGGAGCGUAGACGGCAAGGCAAGCCUGGAGUGAAAGGCGGGGGCCCAACCCCCGGACUGCUCUGGGAACUGUCUAGCUAGAGUGCAGGAGGGGUAAGUGGAAUUCCUA
RNAcentral lists this ribosomal RNA (620 nucleotides) under uncultured bacterium. RNAcentral's name for it is "bacterial SSU rRNA". It matches the Rfam family "Bacterial small subunit ribosomal RNA", at positions 61 to 672 of the family's 1533-position model. The record is from RNAcentral.